This 484-nucleotide ribosomal RNA is filed under the name uncultured bacterium. RNAcentral's name for it is "partial 16S ribosomal RNA". It matches the Rfam family "Bacterial small subunit ribosomal RNA", at positions 30 to 507 of the family's 1533-position model. The record is from RNAcentral.
AUUGAACGCUGGCGGCAGGCCUAACACAUGCGAGUCGAGCGGAUGAAGGGAGCUUGCUCCUGGAGUCAGCGGCGGACGGGUGAGUAAUGCCUAGGAAUCUGCCUGGUAGUGGGGGAUAACGUCCGGAAACGGGCGCUAAUACCGCAUACGUCCUGAGGGAGAAAGUGGGGGAUCUUCGGACCUCACGCUAUCAGAUGAGCCUAGGUCGGAUUAGCUAGUUGGUGGGGUAAAGGCCUACCAAGGCGACGAUCCGUAACUGGUCUGAGAGGAUGAUCAGUCACACUGGAACUGAGACACGGUCCAGACUCCUACGGGAGGCAGCAGUGGGGAAUAUUGGACAAUGGGCGAAAGCCUGAUCCAGCCAUGCCGCGUGUGUGAAGAAGGUCUUCGGAUUGUAAAGCACUUUAAGUUGGGAGGAAGGGCAGUAAGUUAAUACCUUGCUGUUUUGACGUUACCAACAGAAUAAGCACCGGCUAACUUCGUG